UACGAAGGGGGCGAGCGUUGUUCGGAAUUACUGGGCGUAAAGGGCGCGCAGGUGGCUCUGAAAGUCAGAUGUGAAAGCCCCGGGCUUAACCUGGGAACUGCAUUUGAUACUCUAGAGCUUGAGUACGGGAGAGGAGAGUGGAAUUCCCAGUGUAGAGGUGAAAUUCGUAGAUAUUGGGAAGAACACCGGUGGCGAAGGCGGGUCUCUGGACCGUAACUGACGCUGAGGCGCGAAAGCGUGGGGAGCAAACAGG
This 253-nucleotide ribosomal RNA is filed under the name uncultured bacterium. RNAcentral describes it as "partial 16S ribosomal RNA". It matches the Rfam family "Bacterial small subunit ribosomal RNA", at positions 524 to 776 of the family's 1533-position model. The record is from RNAcentral.